CUUGUUCCCAGGGACCUGGAGGGUGACCUUGCAUUUUUGUCCAUCUCAGUUUGACCGGCGUGAGAAUACAACGCCACACCGGAAAUGACUGUUUAUUAUCCGCCACGAUGUUUGUUGACACGGCGGAUGCAUUCCAGUGGUUCCAUGUCACUCAGCAGCGCUCGAUGUAUCGACUACGUGACCCCGAAACAUUUCAUGUGAGAUCCUUUCCCAUGGAACAGAUUCUGAAGCAGAAUUCAAUACCUGAGGAUCCCCAUCUAUCUACAGACAAUGCACCCCCGAGCAUCACAUUAGGGAUGGAUAUUCAAAGUCACAAAGCUGUCAGGGUAAAGAUAAACAAGCUGGAUGUGCAACACGAGCAAGGGGUUAACACGACACACUGUCCACCAUAAAACACUGGCACGCAGCAAUAAAGGAGGAUACAAGAGGAGCACAGGCUGCUGUAAACAGUACAGGUUUCAAAAGAUUGUUUGUUUUUUUUGAGAUGUUUUAUGGGGUUGAAAAUAUAUUCAACAUGUUUUUAAGGCCUUGAGGAUACAUACAAUGUACCUUGCACUUCAACAACCCAUGACUGUUUACA
This is a long non-coding RNA of Acanthopagrus latus (yellowfin seabream), 580 nucleotides long. RefSeq lists it as uncharacterized. The record is from RefSeq and is a predicted model, not a curated record. Lineage: Eukaryota; Metazoa; Chordata; Actinopteri; Spariformes; Sparidae. The transcript has 3 exons.